ACGCUCGACACCUACGGAGGCAGCAGUGGGGGAUAUUGCACAAUGGGGGAAACCCUGAUGCAGCAACGCCGCGUGAAGGAAGACGGUUUUCGGAUUGUAAACUUCUGUUCUUAGUGACGAUAAUGACGGUAGCUAAGGAGAAAGCUCCGGCUAACUACGUGUCAGCAGCCGCGGUAAUCUGAGCGGGCUGGCAAGGC
This 197-nucleotide ribosomal RNA is filed under the name uncultured bacterium. Its description in RNAcentral is "partial 16S ribosomal RNA". It matches the Rfam family "Bacterial small subunit ribosomal RNA", at positions 328 to 539 of the family's 1533-position model. The record is from RNAcentral.